CAAAACAUUCACAUAACUGAUACUGCAGUCUCAGCUCCGCUGGACAAAAGGUCCCCAGCUUUUUAUUCUCUUUUGACAAGAACCCAAUUAUAGAUAGCCCUACAAAAUACCAGGGGCUAUUGACAACUUCUCACCAAAUCACGUAAUGCUAGACUGCUUAACAAGACAUACAUAUGAGAAACAUGGGAAAUCAAGUAAGGCUUUCCACUUAGGAUAUUUAUAUACAGUUCUAACCAGGGUAGGGGAUCAACCUAUAGAACUAGAAUAUCCCAAUAUGCAGUCGGUCAAGGGCAAGAAUGAGCACAUCAAUGGCUUCCUCUGAUGAGUAGAACGAACCCCACAAAGGGAUACCCUGGCAAAAUCUGUGGUCCUAUAUAUGAUUAUAAUGAUGGUAUCUUUCUUCCUUUCUUUCUUCCGCACAUUCCGAGCUAUCUUUGACUAAGAUCAGGACUGCCUUCAACCGAGCAAGUAUUUAAUUACAUGAAUUAUCUGGCAUCAUUGACAUCAACUUUCAUUUUCCUUCUAGGUUUCCCGAAGAAAACCUUACCCGCUGCUGAAAUUCUUCACACCCGACCAUCUGUUUUAGUAAAAAGAGACAGCCACCAGCAUACAGGAACUGCAUGCUCCAAAAUUUCAUGGGACUAAGCAUUCCAC
Molecule: unclassified non-coding RNA, 654 nt
Filed under: Hevea brasiliensis (rubber tree)
Lineage: Eukaryota; Viridiplantae; Streptophyta; Magnoliopsida; Malpighiales; Euphorbiaceae
Source: RNAcentral